This 240-nucleotide ribosomal RNA is filed under the name uncultured bacterium. Its description in RNAcentral is "partial 16S ribosomal RNA". It matches the Rfam family "Bacterial small subunit ribosomal RNA", at positions 104 to 334 of the family's 1533-position model. The record is from RNAcentral.
CGGGACGGGGUGGAGUAACGCGUGGGUAACCGUGCCUUGUACUGGGGGAGGAAAGUUAGAAAAGACUGCUAAUACCGCAUAAGCGCACAGUAUCGCAUGAUACAGUGUGAAAAACUACCGGUGGUACAAGAUGGACCCGCGUCUGAUUAGCUAGUUGGUAAGGUAACGGCUUACCAAGGCGACGAUCAGUAGCCGACCUGAGAGGGUGACCGGCCACAUUGGGACUGAGACACGGCCCAA